AGGGUCAUUUAUCAGAGGUGGAAUUGUUUCAGAAGGUUUAGCCCUUCCCAGAUUAAAAAAGUCAUUGGGCUUUAGGAAACUGAUGUGAAUAGGCUGUUGUAGUGUUUCAGGAGUGUUUUAUCCUCAAAUACUCUUUUUCCACCUGCAUGUGAUUGCACAUGAGAUGUUUCACUGUUUGAUUCAGGUUUGGAGGACCCAGUUUCUGGAAUAAUGCUUGGUUAGCUCUGCUGGUGGAGAGACGGCUACAGUAAGGCACAGAGGAGGUGAGAGGGUUGGCUGGGACUGUUGUGUGUGCAGUAGUUGUGAGCAACAAAGGAAGCAUGGGGUAAUCUUGCGGGUUUAUGUAUUUUUCUGGACAAUCUUGAUGCUGUUCCAGAUGCAUCCUCAAAGCAGAACAGCCAGGAGUGCAGAGGAGGAUGAGAACAGCCGCCUACCUGUCAGAGAGGAGAUGCAAUGAGUGCAAAAGGUAUAGACUCUGUCAAAGUUUAUUAACUUAUCAGAUAGAGCAAGUUAUUUUAGUAUAAGAUGUGAGUGGGCUUUGGCAGUCUUUCUGCCUUGUGUUGUUUGAGGGUGGGGAUUGUUCUUUUUCUGUAGGACUUAAUCUCUCUCCCCAAACAUAGUAAAUGAAGUUAACGAACCUAUGAGAUUCCUGUAAAUGUGCCUUGAUGAGAAUUGUCUGUUACCAUCUCUCAAACUAGAUAGGGUUUGAAGGAAGCACAGUCGAUAAUAGCCUCAGUGAUAGCUCCUGCUCUUUUUGUUAAUUUUGUUUGUAUUAUUUGGUUUGUUGUUUUUUUUUAAUAGCUGAGUAAUUUCACGAGUUCUGUGAGUGAGAGCUCUUUUCUUUAGAGAUGAGGUUGUGGCUAUUUUGGGCGAAGGGGCUUAUGGAAGAGUAGUGGAAUGCGUUAUUGAUCAUGAAGAGUAAGUAUUUAAUACAAGUCAUUUUUCCUGCUCACAGUGUAGUUCAUGAAGUGCUGAUGAUCCCAGGUUGUAUCUUUGCUUCCUCUUUUGCUGCUCCACAUGUACUUCCUUAAGGCUGCUGCUCCAGUUCCCAAACACAAGUGUCUGUUAGUACAUCAUGCUAAACCCAGUGCCUUGACAGGAGGGUUGUGCAGAACUGGGGGAUGACGUGAUGGGUGCUCCAGCCUGGCAGGGUUCAAGGGCUGGCAGGGGGAGGUGGUCUGGACUAUGUAGGAUGAAGCUGAAGCCCCGUUCUGGGGCAGUCAUGGGGCCUUCACCACCCACCCCAGGAAGGUCUCAGAUCUGGGGUCUAGCAGUGAGCAUCUUGUAAAUCAAGAAUCUGUUUUGUGUUUGAUGGCAGUUUUGCCGUGUGCAGAGUAUGAAACUAGAUUGUCUUCCUAGUGGCCGUAGAAAGCACUUGACCCCUCAGUUGCUUUUUCACUCCUAAAACACACAGGAGGUGGCCUGUCAUUUUUGACUGUUAGGCUGCAAGAUGUGUUUCCCCAGUAGUAGCCCAGCAUCUAUAAAUACAAAGGGGAAGUAAAUGGGGCCUUUAACCUUUAAGAAUAAUACAGACAUAUCAAGUAUGUUUGCACGAUUGAAAUAUUAGAUUUUAGUUGUGUUUGUGCACAGAUGAGCCCUGGUUACAUUAAGUCAGUAUGUACUUAAAGAAAAUAGCUUUUCUGAUAAAGCUGUCGUUGCUGUAAACAACAUACAUGGUGAUAAUUACUGAAUUUCAUCCUAGAAUCAUGGAAAUGGUUUGGGUUGGAAGGGACCUUAAAGAUCACCUCGUUCCAACUUGAAACUCUUCGUUGUUCUACCAACCGUUAAAAACCUGUCAAGGAAGGCAGAUAUGUUGCUGUGAAAACAGUAAUGUUGACACAUACUCUGAAGUGGCCUGUGCAAGAAUAAGAAAACUGCAACAUUUAAAUGCAUUAGAUCCCAGCAAUACAUAGUAAGUACACAAAGCCACCUGCACUUUGUUCUGCUUUGAGAUUCCUGUGCUGUCACCUUCCGUAACAUGUGGCAUCUGUAUCUAGUUGUUACACACCCUCCUGCUGCAACUCAGGCGUUUUCCUGCUGUUGUACUCGGUGUGUCCAGAUGCUGGAGUGGCUUGAGUACAUGGACAUGUCUGCAUUGUUUUUGAGCUACUGGGACUCAGCACCUUCUGAAAGAGCAUGGCUUUCAGCCACUGAGCGUGGUGGACAUCAGACAGGUGACGUACCAGCUUUGCCAGUCUGUGAGCUGUAUGAUUCUUUUCUGCUGUAUCUGUUAACUUUUUAUGGAACGUGCUAACUGUAUUGGUUAUCUUGCAUUCAGAAAGCUGAUGCAUACAGACCUGAAUCCAGAAAACAUUUUAUUUGUGAGGUCUGACUACACAGCAGAGCAUAGCCCCAAACUAAUAAACACACAAUGACCAUCAGCUAAAAAUUACAGACACUGAAGUUGUGGACUUUGGGAAUGCAAUGUAUGAUGAUGGGUACCACAGCCCUGUCAUGACUACUUGUGCAUUCCCAGCUCCAGAAGUUAUUCUAGGACUAGGAUAGUCACAGCCUUGUGACAUCUGGAGCACAGGUUGCCUUCUCAUGGAAUACGGCUUUGGAAACAUUCUCUUUCUGGUAGGUAACUAUGAACCUCAAAACGAUGCAGCAUGUGUAAUGCUGCUCAGCUGGAUGAAACUACACUACAGGGACGUGGGGACUGCGGGGAAUGGCUUCAGAAAUGAAACUGCAUUUCUCUGUUACACCAAGCAGAAAAGAAGUUGUAGGAAAAAAGGAACUUCUCAGUGGAAGACUCCUGCAAGCAGCCUGACACAAGGAUCACCCUGUUAACAGUUGUAAUUUCCAAGACACACUAGUAAGACACAGCUUCAUCAGCAAAUACGACUCAGUACCCAAAUUCUGUCAUCCUGACAGCAUUGCCAAACCCAACAUUUAUGAACAAGGGAGAAUAAAAAAAGGGUAAAAGGAAUCGGAUGCCUAUAGCCUCUCUUUUCUCCUUCACUGGAAACUGAUUAUGGGGUGCAGGGUACUGUUAAAACCAAAGUAAGGUUAGUGGGUGGUUCCUGACAAUGCCUUCUAACACUGAACUAUCCACCUUGAUUUCCCUCCAGACUUAUAACAGCAAAGAACACAUGGCAAUGAUGGAGCGAGUAGUGGGGCCUUUGCCAAGGCACAUGGUACAGAACAGGAGGUAAGGAUGUUCUUCCAUACCUGGACUGCUAGAGAUUAAUAAAUACAGGUAGUUUGAGCUCUGGUUUAAUAGCAGUUUAACAGGAAGUUUCAUAAACUCAGGUUCCUCCUCUUGCUCUAUUAACAAGCUGUGAACUUACAUGCCAGUAAACUUCUAGUGAAGGGAUAAACCAGGAUCUCUGCAUAACAAACUGUGGUCUGUCUUAGGACUGUUUAAGGAAAUGCAGGUAUUUAACUCAGAGCCAGCUGGCCUGGAAUGAAAACACCCAUGCUGGUCAGUGCUGCUUGAGGCUCUGUAAGCCACUGCUGGUAAGGAGACAAAGGGAAAUUCUUUUGGGGAGAAGAACUUUUUGGUGCAGUUUUAGGAUUAAAAACCCCAUGGUGAUGUUUUCUUCCUGGAGGAAUAUAUGACCUGCAGCAAUGCUGAGCACAGGAACCUCUUUGAUCUGAUUGGGAAGAUGCUGGAGGUAUGACCCUGCCGAGCGCUUUACACUUGAAGCAGUGCUAAAACAUCCUUUCUUCUUCCCACUGAAACGGGGAAAAAAGGUCAUGGUCUCCUGCAGAUGAGGAUGCCAAGGGAGGUUUUCCAGUGAAGAAACAGAAAACAGUGUAAAUACUUGCACUAAAUAAUGAUCAAUUGUUUUGCAAAUGUGCUAUUUUUUUAUGGGCAUUUCUGCUUUUUUUUGUGGAUUUAUACUAGGACUUUUUGGAUAUUCCACAGUUGAA
Molecule: long non-coding RNA, 3876 nt
Organism: Melopsittacus undulatus (budgerigar)
Lineage: Eukaryota; Metazoa; Chordata; Aves; Psittaciformes; Psittaculidae
Exons: 3
Source: RefSeq, a predicted model, not a curated record